RNAcentral lists this ribosomal RNA (497 nucleotides) under uncultured bacterium. RNAcentral's name for it is "partial 16S ribosomal RNA". It matches the Rfam family "Bacterial small subunit ribosomal RNA", at positions 28 to 507 of the family's 1533-position model. The record is from RNAcentral.
GAUGAACGCUGGCGGCGUGCCUAAUACAUGCAAGUCGAGCGAACGGACGAGAAGCUUGCUUCUCUGAUGUUAGCGGCGGACGGGUGAGUAACACGUGGAUAACCUACCUAUAAGACUGGGAUAACUUCGGGAAACCGUAGCUAAUACCGGAUAAUAUUUUGAACCGCAUGGUUCAAAAGUGAAAGACGGUCUUGCUGUCACUUAUAGAUGGAUCCGCGCUGCAUUAGAUAGUUGGUAAGGUAACGGCUUACCAAGGCAACGAUGCAUAGCCGACCUGAGAGGGUGAUCGGCCACACUGGAACUGAGACACGGUCCAGACUCCUACGGGGGGCAGCAGUAGGGAAUCUUCCGCAAUGGGCGAAAGCCUGACGGAGCAACGCCGCGUGAGUGAUGAAGGUCUUCGGAUCGUAAAACUCUGUUAUUAGGGAAGAGCAUAUGUGUAAGUAACUGUGCACAUCUUGACGGUACCUAAUCAGAAAGCCACGGCUAACUACGUG